RNAcentral lists this long non-coding RNA (1378 nucleotides) under Ursus maritimus (polar bear). RNAcentral's name for it is "lncRNA (ENSUMAG00000025138.1)". The record is from RNAcentral. Lineage: Eukaryota; Metazoa; Chordata; Mammalia; Carnivora; Ursidae.
AUGCACUCCUCACAUCCCCCUCUCCUUAUUUUCCACAUACAGUCAAAACCAGCCUCUUCUUCCCAUCCCCUUUCCUACUACCGUAGAGCAAGCCCCAUUAUUUUUGAAACCUCCUUCCUAUUAAGAAGAGCACAGAUCCAGAAAAGUGCACAAAAUGGAAAUGUGAGCCUUUGUGAUCCGUCACAGAGUGCAGACCCAGGCUCUGGUUUCUGUGGUGGGCACACCAAGGCAGCGCCCUUUGAGAUGCCAAGAAAAGCAUGAGGCGCCGGCCAUGGCCGAGUCCCUGCCAGCAGCCCCGAGUCCUCAACUCCCAAGAUAGGGAUGGGCAGGUCAAGCAAAGAUCCUGGGGCUUUCAAGCACUCCAUCAACUUUUCCGAAAGUUGCCUUUUCUGGACCUUUCACAUAAACGGAAGUUUCGGCCUCAGCCCCUUCACUUCGCGCCGUGGUUUUGAGACUCAGCUAUGUUGUGGCACCGAUCAGUGGUUCAGCCUCUUCUCCCGCCGAAGAGUCCUCCAUGCACAGAUCUGCCACGUUCUGUGGGUCUGUUUACCAUCCUAGACGUUUGCGUUGUUUCCACCUUUUGGCUGUUAGGAAUGGUGCUGCCAUGAACAUCCCCGUGCAAGUGUUUGUGUGAACGUUUGUUUUCCUAUCUGCGGAGUGGACGCCUAGACGUGGAAUCCCUGUGUAUGUAGUAAAUGUGUAUUUAACUUUAUAAGAAACUAACAAAGCACUGUGCUAUGUUACGUCCCUACCAGCAACGCGUGAAGGGUCUCAUUUCUCCACAUGCUUGCCAAUGCUUGUUACUAUCAAUCUUUUUCAUUAUAUCCUAUUGAGGAACUUUUUAAAAAACACCCACCGAUGCCUGGGCUUCAGCCCAAACGAAUUAAAUCAGAGUUUUGAGGGGUGCCCGGCUGGCUCAGUCUGUAGGGUGUGCGACUCUGGAUGUCAGGGUCAUGACUUGAACCCCACGUUGGGUGCAGAGGUGACUUAAAAAAAAAAUCAUCAGAGGGGCACCUGGGUGGCUCAGUCAGUUAAGCGUCCGACUCUUGAUCUCAGCUCAGGUCUUGAUCUCAGGGUCGUGAGUUCAAGCCCCACGUUGGGCUCCAUGCUGGGUGUGGAGCCUACUUAAAAAAAAAAAAAAUCAGAGUCUCAGGGUUUGGGACCAGCCAUAGGUAUUCAAAACAUAACAAAGCAAAAGCAAAACCCUCCCUAUUUAAAAAGCUACUAGUGUGCUGAAGGGUUGAGAACCAGUGAUCUCACUUUAGGCCCGAAGUUCCAGCCUCUGGGGCAGUGAGAGGGACCUCAGGCUGACUAGCAGCCUCUCCCACACCAGGAAGCAGAGGCGCUUGCCUCCCAAGAAGGCACAUGAAGUCCCAGA